GCUUUUGCUUGGUGUACUUCUUGAUCGAUGGGUCAGCAUCAGUUUGGGCGGUUGGAUAAAGGUCUCUGUCACGUACCUCCUCUCGGGGAGGCCUUAUAGGGGAGACGACAUGCAACCAGCCUGGACUGAGGUCCGCGCAUCUGCUAGGAUGCUGGCGUAAUGGCUGUAAGCGG
RNAcentral lists this ribosomal RNA (173 nucleotides) under Cucurbitariaceae sp. RNAcentral's name for it is "partial large subunit ribosomal RNA". Lineage: Eukaryota; Fungi; Ascomycota; Dothideomycetes; Pleosporales; Cucurbitariaceae. The record is from RNAcentral.